UACGUAGGGUGCGAGCGUUAAUCGGAAUUACUGGGCGUAAAGCGUGCGCAGGCGGUUCUCCAAGUCCGUUGUGAAAGCCCCGGGCUCAACCUGGGAAUGGCAGUGGAAACUAGGGGACUGGAAUCUGGCAGAGGGGGGUGGAAUGCCGCGUGUAGCGGUGGAAUGCGUAGAGAUCCGGAAGAACACCGGUGGCGAAGGCGGCCUGCUGGGCAGUGGCUGACGCUGAGGCGCGACAGCGUGGGGAGCAAACAGG
This 253-nucleotide ribosomal RNA is filed under the name uncultured bacterium. RNAcentral's name for it is "partial 16S ribosomal RNA". It matches the Rfam family "Bacterial small subunit ribosomal RNA", at positions 524 to 776 of the family's 1533-position model. The record is from RNAcentral.